AGCGAGUAAGGGAAUCUUCCACAAUGGGCGAAAGCCUGAUGGAGCAACGCCGCGUGUGUGAUGAAGGGUUUCGGCUCGUAAAACACUGUUGUAAGAGAAGAAUGACAUUGAGAGUAACUGUUCAAUGUGUGACGGUAUCUUACCAGAAAGGACGGCUAAAUACGUGCCUG
This 170-nucleotide ribosomal RNA is filed under the name uncultured bacterium. Its description in RNAcentral is "partial 16S rRNA". It matches the Rfam family "Bacterial small subunit ribosomal RNA", at positions 350 to 511 of the family's 1533-position model. The record is from RNAcentral.